GCUGCUUAAAAGAAUUAUGUUUUCAGGAAAUUGUUUACACUCUAAAAACUCUAAUGUGGCCUUCUUAAGAACCUGUAUUUUUUUGUGAAGUUGGUGGGCAAAUGCUACAAGUCAUCAGUACAGUUUUUCCUCUUCUGUGCUGUGUCAUAAAGAGUGAAGUUCUGGUGGGUCCAGUGCUGAGUGCCAUUCACCAACAGCUCCCAUUAAAACUGACAAGGAACAAAUAUACCAAGAAAGGAGUUCGUCAUGUGCUUCAGUAAAAUCUAAACAUAUUACAAGGAAAAGCUUAAGGCUUGAGGCAAAGACCACAUUCAGUAGCAACCAUGUGACUCAACUGGCCAAGGAUUGAAACAGAAUUUAACUCUUGCUAGCAUUUUAUUGAAGUUUUAACCUGUGAUGGCUUUUAUUCAUUUACACACAAAUCUCAGUUGCAGCGCUUGAGCAGCUAUGCGAUGUAAUCUGUACAAAUGCAAUAAAAAAACUUGAGAGGAUGUAGAAAGUGGGGCAAUGUCUUCACCUAUGUCUCAUUUUAAGUUAUUAAAACAACUACAUAAGUUGUUAACAAAACUGGCUGCAUAUGUCUUACCAAAUGCUAGAUUGGAAUUGUAGAUACAAGUGAUUGUUUUCUUGGAACAAUUAAUACAGCUGGCAAAGUGGCAUUUGGUUACAGAAACCUCUUUUUUGGACCUGAAAGAGAAACAACAAACUUCAAACUUAGAUACAAUUGAGAAUAAUUGGUCUUGGAUUCUAUGAGAAAAGAGGUAGCUGCUUCCUAUUUAGUGAAGUGGGGGGGGAGGGUAUAAGCAAGAAGAUAGUGCCAAGGUGAUUGUUUACUUGGAGAGAGUAAUAGGUAAAUUAUAGCCUGUGGGAUAUGAACAUGUUUCACUCGGAGUCAGUAGAGAAGCCAGAAAUAACUUAGCUUGACCUUUAAAUUCUGUUUCCAGAAUUUGAAUUUGGAAAGGAAGGGAAAGAAACAAAACAACACAAUUUAGUGAAUGAUUUACUUAAGUUUACUUGAUUUGCAAUCCAAGUAAAUGUAACAUGCAUCAGAAGCACUGAAGCAAUAAAACCAUUUUAGUGCAAUUUUAAAGGCAUUUCGUCAGCGAAGGUUUGCAGUUGAAAUUGAUCUGAAACAUCUUUCAUGUAUUGUCUGUUAAUUUUUUGCAAAUAAAAUACAAGGCUGUUGAAUAGGCUGAAAUUUCUUGUUUUA
Neopsephotus bourkii (Bourke's parrot) is the source of this 1210-nucleotide long non-coding RNA. RefSeq lists it as uncharacterized. The transcript has 3 exons. The record is from RefSeq and is a predicted model, not a curated record. NCBI's taxonomy places the organism in Eukaryota, Metazoa, Chordata, Aves, Psittaciformes, Psittacidae.